GACGAACGCUGGCGGCGUGCUUAACACAUGCAAGUCGAACGGAAAGACCCUGCUUUUGUGGGGUGCUCGAGUGGCGAACGGGUGAGUAACACGUGAGUAACCUGCCCUUGACUUUGGGAUAACUUCAGGAAACUGGGGCUAAUACCGGAUAGGAGCUCCUGCUGCAUGGUGGGGGUUGGAAAGUUUCGGCGGUUGGGGAUGGACUCGCGGCUUAUCAGCUUGUUGGUGGGGUAGUGGCUUACCAAGGCUUUGACGGGUAGCCGGCCUGAGAGGGUGACCGGCCACAUUGGGACUGAGAUACGGCCCAGACUCCUACGGGAGGCAGCAGUGGGGAAUAUUGCACCAUGGGCGGAAGCCUGAUGCAGCAACGCCGCGUGCGGGAUGACGGCCUUCGGGUUGUAAACCGCUUUCGCCUGUGACGAAGCGUGAGUGACGGUAAUGGGUAAAGAAGCACCGGCUAACUACGUG
Molecule: ribosomal RNA, 468 nt
Filed under: uncultured bacterium
Lineage: Bacteria
Description: partial 16S ribosomal RNA
Rfam family: Bacterial small subunit ribosomal RNA
Source: RNAcentral